GUAAAUAUAGUUUAAACAAAACAUUAGAUUGUGAGUCUAAUAAUAGAAGAUCAUAUCCUCUUAUUUACC
RNAcentral lists this transfer RNA (69 nucleotides) under Sciurus ignitus (Bolivian squirrel). Its description in RNAcentral is "Hadrosciurus ignitus (Bolivian squirrel) tRNA-His". It matches the Rfam family "tRNA". Rfam says of the family: Transfer RNA (tRNA) molecules are approximately 80 nucleotides in length. The record is from RNAcentral. Lineage: Eukaryota; Metazoa; Chordata; Mammalia; Rodentia; Sciuridae.